GUUGUGAGCCACCAUGUGGUUGCUGGGAAUUGAACUCAGGACCUCCGGAAGAGCAGCCAGUGCUCUUAACCCCAGAGCCAUCUCUCCAGCCCCCAUGUGUUGUAUUUUCACACGAUGGGUACUACAACUUAAAUUGUUGAGCCAGGCAUGGUGGUACACACUUUUAAUCCCUGUUCUGGAAAGACAGAGGCAGGCAGAUCUCAGUUGAGGCUACAUAGUAAGACCCUAUUCUGAACAAACAAAGCAAACGUGAUUUUUGUUGUUGUUAUUGUUGUUGUUCCUUUAAGUCAGGGUCUCACUAUGUGGCCCAGGCUGUCCUUGAAUCUGGGGUCCCCUGCCUCUGCCUACUGAAUGAACAGAUUCUAGCAGGACAGAUUUAUCACAGCAUCACCAACAGGAGUUACAUUUUCCAUUAUGACAUCACGACAAUUACGACCACUCCAGCACCACCAGGAGACAGGAACUCUUCAAUUCCCUUCUAACCUUAUGUAUGGGGCCAUCACAGUACACAAUUCAUCGCUAACCAAGCGUUAGGACCUACCUCUGUGGCUGUAUUUAGAGCGAUUCAUCUUUUUAUUUCUGAUGAAUAAACCACUAAGGUAGCCAGCCCCAACCAGGUGGAAUAGAGGCUGAGAGAGUUUGACUUUGCUACAAACCAGAGAGGCUAGCUGUAUCCUGUUCCCUCCGUUACUGAGGAGCUCCGAAGAGAAAGCCAGUCACUGUGGAACAUCAAACCAAGACAGGACAUUAAGGAGCCCACCCUGCCCACGGUGUGAAAUAGACAGGCUGAAUAGAGCCUCUCUGAACUGCCCUGGGCUACACACAGCUUGGCCUUCAGCAAACUUUGAGGUAGCCUACAAACUACUUCCUUCUGAAGAAUGGGAACAGACCCCUGCCCUCCUUAACCUAGGGCUGCUCUAAGGCACGGCCAAGAGAAUCCAAGAAACGCCAGCUGCCCCAGUGGCUGAUGUCAUCUGCAGGAGGGAGGGGGCACUGGACCACCCUCACCCCCUUCCUUUCAUCAGGGAGAACAAUGCACGCACACAUGGACUCCCCUCUGCUGCCCCACUAAGAAGUGGCUCAGGGGAAGCUCAGCUGUUCUCUCUCCGGAAAUUUAAUCUGCAAAGCAUUUGGCCUCAAAAAGUCAAUUCCAAAGGUGUCCAGGAGCCCUCCAUCCUUGUGAUCAUUGUUACCAACCCAGGGACGCUUGCAGCCGCUGACCCAUUUGGCAGCUGGGGAGAGCUAGCUGGGGGAUGGUCAACAUGGCCACUUUCCCCUCCCCCGUGCCUCCUGUGUGGAGAGAGACUGUAUGUUUACACAGGCCCCGGGGGUGAGGAGGUAGCAUAACUCUAAGAUCUCCACACCAUGGGACAGAGAGGCUAACUUCUGGCUCAGUUGAUAAAAUCGAGGGUGGUUAGGGAAUUGGGGAGCUCCGGAUCAAAGCAGCAACUGUGGCUACUGCUGUUACCCCUCUACCCUUCACAUAAGGGCAGCUGGUGUUCUAAGGGACAAAGUGGCUUGAGGUCACCCAUUAACUGGUAGUUGAGCUUAGAGCCCAGAUUGACCAAGAACACCUUAUGCUCAGCCUGGCUUCCCUGAGUGCUGUGCCAAGUGGCAAUCCCUUGACCCAGUGCCUCGGGCAAGGGGUGGGUGGUCUGGAGCUGGCAGGGAGCACCACCAGGCUAGAGAGAGGUUAGUCGGUCAAGCCAGUCAUGAUAGGAGCCUGUAGUUCAUGCUGUAGGUGCUGGCUGGGUCAGUGACCUAAGGCCCCAUGUUCUUGCCACACUUGGCUUACUAUCGGUCUCCUCCCAACAAACUGGCUCAAACCAGCCAACAACUCAAGUCUGAGCCACGGGCAGGCUGGGGCCCUAUGAGAACAGGAAACAAAUGAGAAAGUCAGAGUGUGUGGGAGUGCCAGGCCUGGGUACGUAGCCAACUGCCACAGAGACUUUCUUGAAAGUAGGCUGCAGGGCCCGAGUCUGGGGUCUGACGGGGACUCAGCCAGCCACGGGCAGUACUGCAUCCUCUGGAGGACACCAGCUAGCUUAUCCCUAGCUUCACUCUGGAGCCUAGGCAAGAUAAGCAAGUCUGCAUUUUCUAGCUGUGUACGCAUACAUGUGAGGGAAAAUGCGUCUCUAAAUACACAGAGCUGGGGAAGUGAGUCUAAAAUCUAUCCUCAGCUGCAGCCUAAAGGGCCCAGUUGGGAGCAGUGGUUUAGCAGGUAGGGUGGCCUGAGAGCCCUGCUCCCGUCCACUGAUACCUGCUAAAUUACUUCUAAGGCCUUAGGGGCUGGAUCCCCAGUAUCAAAGUCCCAGAGCCAUGAGGCAGACCUGCCCACCUCCUUCCCUCUGUACAGCAGGGAGUAACUACUAUUUAAUAGCACACAGUAGGUCCUUUCAGCCUAUUUACUGCAGCUGAACUCAGCCACUCAAGGGCAACCUCCUUUCUUUAGCCAGAUCUUAUCAGUCCUUUCCACCUAUUCAGCCUGCGGGCAACGCCUGACUUCUCCAUCCUGGCAAGUUGCCCACCACCCCUUUGUUCAAGAUGUGCUUUCUUCAGAAGCCUUCUCUCCACCCAGCCCAGCACCGAGCCUCCACAAAACCCACAGUGCCCAGUCCGUGGGCCACCUUGAACCCUAGACUCCUGUGGUCAACCCCACCUUGCUUUUGUCUUUACAUGGCAAAUGUAUUCAGCUCACAGUUAUCUGGAUUACACAUAGUGUCUCAGGGACGUCACGGUCAGCAAGGGCAAGACAAUGGUGGAUUCCUGUCCAUUGCUCUGCUCCAGUCCUAUGCAUGCCCACGGGGUACACAGUACAUUCUCGAAGCCUGUCAACUAUGGAAGCAGGAUUUCCCUGAGUACUGAAGGCUGGUAUAGAGGGAAGAGAGGAGAAAAAGAUGGGGCAACUAUUCCAUAUAGUAUGGGGCUAGAGGAGAGGGGCUGGGAUGGUUCUGUUUGGUUAUGAGCAGAGAAAGGCAACAUGGACUGGAGGUACCUGGACUAAUGCCAGGGAGCACAGCUCAGGUUGUCCCAAGCCCCUCCAGACCUACCACUCACGUGCUCCAGCCUCUCCUGAAGGACCCGGGGAGCCAAGGAGAAGGCAGGACAUCUUCUCCACCCUCCUUCAGAGUCUCUCUGACCUGCAGCCCUUGGCCUUUUCCUGCUCCAGAGGAACUGACCUCUGCUUCCUAGCGUUUAGGGUAUGGAGAAGUCACACGGCAAAGCUUUCUGGGGUUUGCCCUUCCAAAGAAGCAAAAGGCUGCAAACACUCGGGCUCCUGACCUAGACCAACGAUGCUACAUAAAGCUCAUGCCUGCCUUCCUGACUGUGCAUCCUGGGCAAGACACCUCACUUUUCUGGGUUUCAGUUUCCUCCUCGGAGAGAGAGGACACCAAGCCCCACCUUGUCUCUCACCAAGAGGUUUUAAAAAUUGCAUGCUUUUCUAUCCUGUGAAACUUAAAAUAUUAUGAUUCAAAAAGCGGUGACCUUGGAAAAUGCUCAAAAUUCCCAGCUAGCUGGCAGGAGCAGGCAUUUCCCCAGGUGGCCUUGACCUCUCUGCUGAGUCCCAGCAGGCAUCGGAGAGAACAGACAUUCAGACUUCUGGCCACUUAGGUUUCAAGCCACGGCGAGCCAAAGGUGGCUGUGCCGGUGAGGGCAGACCGGACCAUAGGAGAGGGAGACAUAGCUACCAUGCCUCAGUUUCGGAUCUAGGCACCGUUUGCUCACGUUACCACUAGUCCUUGGCAGACUGACUCUGAGUUUGGCUUCCUGUCAACCCCUGUGGCUCUCCUGGGCCAUUUCCCUACAAUCCAGUCCAAUAGAAGCUUGAGAGAAGCAAAUGAAUCUUAGCAGAAGCCUGAGAGAUGCCCAGCUAGGACGAGAGAGCAUGGGCUGCGACAGUGAAACUCAAACGAUAGUUUCUUAUCACACAAUUCCAUCGGAACCUGAGCUAUAGGAACCAGAAGUUUCCCUCCGCUUUGGGGGACUCAACGGGCUCCAAGGUGGGGAACCCCAUGGAGCAGUGAUCCCCACAAGGUCUUUCAGGUCACAUGAGCUAACUGGGUCACCCUAAUUGAUCCCCACCUUAAGGCUAGGAUUCGCGGUCAGCACUGGACACCUAGAGGAUGAGGUUAUGGAAUCAAGAUGCUGAUAGGAAUGAGGGUGGUUGCCGUGGGCUACCCUCAGCUACCACAAUGAUUACUGAAAACCUUAGUGCUGAAGUGUGUGAUAUCAGCAGCCACAGGGUAAGCUGGGGAGAGAACAGGGAAGGGACAAGUUUUCAACCCAAAUUUUCCCUGAGGUUCUGACAAAUUAUACUCCCCACAAAGUACCCUGCACUUAGCUAAAGCCCAUUACGUAAGAGCAGAGGACUCAUGGGAAGAGAUUCUCCCUAUACUUCAGCUGGGGAGCGAGACCUGACACUUCUACUGGGGACAAAGGUAUCCGGUCUUGUGUGUGUGUGUGCGUGUGUGCGUGUGUGUGUGUGUGUACUGGGAGGUGGGUGGACUCUCCAGGACUGCCCACUCACAGGUAAGAGUGGACAGAAGAGUCAAGUCACCUCUGUCUACAGAGACAGCGUCAGGUGAAGGUGACUGGCAGCCCUUCUUGUUCAACCUGAGCAGGUUGGAAGUGAGACAGAGGGAAAGUCCAGUGCUGUGCCCUACCCUGCCACUUGGCAGCUGGUUCCUGGCAUGGGGUUGGGAGCACUAGGUACUGACAAACUCUUGGAUGCCUUCCUAACACAGCCACGGCUCUCAUAGCUUGAAGGAAGAACUAUUUCUAGAGUCUCCUUGUCCCCCAACACCUGCUCCUGCUGCCCUCCUCGAGAGCCAGGAAGAUGGGUGCCAAGCUCUUGUCAGGUAGCCCUCCUGCUUACUGAAGCUUAUGGCUAAUUGGCAUAGGGCUGCCCAACUUUCCACAUUGCUUCUAAUUUGAGUGCCUAGUCCCUGCCCACCACCCCACACUCCCCUCUGCCCGCUGGAAUGUGUUCAUUUUCUAAGGCUCUUCCAGAAGCCCACCCUACCCCCGCACCCCUUUCCUGGGCCCAGUCUUGGCCGUCAGCACUUUUUAGCUCCGUACCAGAUACAGAACUCUGAUGGUCAGCAUGAUGGCAGCCUAGGUGGGUCUCCUCACUGCCGGCCUUGUGUAAUGCAUCUUGGUUGAAGGCAUCUGUUCUUGGGUCUGCCCUCUGUUACAAUCCCUUCUUUUUUGUCACAGGCUGGGACAAGGACAACUGUGCAAUUAAGAGCUCCAAAGGAAGCAGCUCUCUGGCAGGUGUAGUCCUAACAUCAUGGGCAGUAAUCCUUUGGCUGUCUCUGCCUCACAGGGCCUGAAGAGCUGUUAGAACCACCAAGUAUAAUCCACUCUGGCCAGGACGGUAAACUGUGCUGUACCAGUACGGGAUGGUUUUGUUUUGAGACAGGUCUCGUACAGUCCAGACUGGCCUCAAAACUGCUAAGUAGCCAAGGAUGACCUCGGAUCCUCCUCUCUCUACCUCCCAAGUGCUGGGAUUACAGUUGCCUACCACCACACGCAGUUUAUGUGGUACUAGGGGUCAAACCAGGGCUUCGUGUAUGUUAGGCCGACACUGCCAUCUAACACCACCUCAAAGUUCCCAGUCCAGGGUCCUAGCUGUGCUAUUAUGCGCUGACCACUUGCUGUGUCUCUGUCCCUGAUCACAGAGCCCUUUUGGGUUAGAGCGUUCCAACUUCAUAGCACUGUAUGGUUUGUCCCGUUACACAGGUAAGAAAAAUUGAUGCUUGGAGGAUCCCAGAAACUUCCCAAGGGACACAGGGUAAUCAAAGACACAACCAGGUCCAUCCAUCUUGAAGCUUGAGAUUUUCAUCUGGAGACGAUUUUGCAGUCUCAGUUUUAAGAGGACCUCUGUCCUACAGUGAACAAAGACUGGGCUGAUGGGACCCGGGGCUCGCUUGCUUAGGGAUUUAUGCUCUCUGGCCCUUUCUCCUCCAGAUGGCGUCACGAAGUGAAUGCACUGCAUACCAGAGAUGGCCUUGGACCAGAGUGGACUUAGGAACUGCUGAUCAGACAAAGGCAGCAGGGACACACAUGCAUUUAGGAAGUGAAGAGCUAUCAGAGAGCAAGGCUUUCGGACACUCCGACAGGACCUUGUGAGGGCCAGACAACACCUCCAAACGCACGCUGACUCAGGGAGCCUCACUCCUACCAGGCUGCUUUAGAGAUAGGAAUGUUGGUUCGUUAAUCUGCAAUGCACGAAACAGCCAAGCAGGUCUUUACUGGGGUGUCUCUUUCUUAGGCAGCACAGCCUGGAGGUCUGAGUCAGCAUUCCGGUUGUUCCUUACUCAAGCAAAGUGUCAGCACAAGACUUAGAAGCUAAACAGAGUCAACUUAAGACAGGGGAGAGCACCCAUAAAGCCUUGCCAAGUGGGUGAGGCUGGUCAGUGGGUAGGGCUGCGGGUCAUCCCCAGGGUUGACCCGGUAAAAGGAGAGAACCAAUUACUGUGUAAUCCUCCAAACUCUACAUGGCAUGAUGUGGCGUAAGUGCCCCCUGGCAGCUCCCUACUCCUAAGAAAUAAAAGUGAAAAAAACAAAAUUAGAGCUACCCUAUCCUCACCAUGCAGUCCACACCUUAAGAGUUUGAAUUCUCAUAGCUAUUAAAUAUGAACCCUGUGGGUGUAUAAGCGGUUAUCACAGUGCCCGAGACAAAGGGACUAUUCAAAUAACACGAGAUAAACUAGUGAGCACCACGGACAGUAUAUGUCCCGCCUUUAUAAACAGUCCCUGUGGUACAGAUGGCUGCCCUCGUUUACUUUGGAAAAAGAAAACUGAAGGGCUGGAGAGGUGGCUUGGCAGUUAAUAGCACUCGUUCUUACAGAGGACCGGCCUUCACAUUGCAGCCCCUGUAUGUCCAUCAAUAACUCCAAUUCUGGAGAACUGGGUGCCCUCUUCUGGCCUCUGCAGGCACCAGGUACGUACAUACGUGGUGGACAUACACACAUGAAGAUAAACACUGACACACAUAAAAUCAAUAAUUCUAAAAAACCAAUUUUUUUGAGAAGCAAAUUGACCCUUGUUCCUAAUGCCAGGGUAACAUUGGAUUUUCUUUCCUCCCCCUGCCUCUCUUUCUUCCUUAUAGUGCUGAGGGUGAAACCCAGGCUCUGAGCAUGUUAAACAAGCCCUCCACCACAGAGCAGCCUCCUCAGCCCACAGCAUUAGAUCUGAAACCCAGCA
Non-coding RNA from Rattus norvegicus (Norway rat), 7209 nucleotides. Lineage: Eukaryota; Metazoa; Chordata; Mammalia; Rodentia; Muridae. The record is from RefSeq and is a predicted model, not a curated record.